Molecule: small RNA, 130 nt
Filed under: Amphritea atlantica
Lineage: Bacteria; Pseudomonadati; Pseudomonadota; Gammaproteobacteria; Oceanospirillales; Oceanospirillaceae
Description: RtT sRNA
Rfam family: RtT RNA
About the family: This family represents a bacterial cis-regulatory element known as RtT RNA. The exact function of RtT is unknown although it is thought that it may be involved in changing the cellular response in relation to amino acid starvation.
Source: RNAcentral
AGUAAAUAUUUGUCGGGAGGGUGAGAUCUCUCGUGGGUUCGAGCCGAGCGCAGCGAGACCACAUCGGAGCCUGCGACGAUAGCCCGAAGGGCGAGGAGUGCAACGACGAGUAAUCCCUCCCUCACCGCCA